CAAGUCGAGCGAAUCAAUGGGAGCUUGCUCCCUGAGAUUAGCGGCGGACGGGUGAGUAACACGUGGGUAACCUGCCUGUAAGAUUGGGAUAACUCCGGGAAACCGGAGCUAAUACCGGAUAACAUUUUGAACCGCAUGGUUCAAAAUUGAAAGAUGGUUUCGGCUAUCACUUACAGAUGGACCCGCGGCGCAUUAGCUAGUUGGUGAGGUAACGGCUCACCAAGGCAACGAUGCGUAGCCGACCUGAGAGGGUGAUCGGCCACACUGGGACUGAGACACGGCCCAGACUCCUACGGGAGGCAGCAGUAGGGAAUCUUCCGCAAUGGACGAAAGUCUGACGGAGCAACGCCGCGUGAACGAUGAAGGCCUUCGGGUCGUAAAGUUCUGUUGUUAGGGAAGAACAAGUACCAGAGUAACUGCUGGUACCUUGACGGUACCUAACCAGAAAGCCACGGCUAACUACGUGCCAGCAGCCGCGGUAAUACGUAGGUGGCAAGCGUUGUCCGGAAUUAUUGGGCGUAAAGCGCGCGCAGGUGGUUUCUUAAGUCUGAUGUGAAAGCCCACGGCUCAACCGUGGAGGGUCAUUGGAAACUGGGGAACUUGAGUGCAGAAGAGGAAAGUGGAAUUCCAAGUGUAGCGGUGAAAUGCGUAGAGAUUUGGAGGAACACCAGUGGCGAAGGCGACUUUCUGGUCUGUAACUGACACUGAGGCGCGAAAGCGUGGGGAGCGAACAGGAUUAGAUACCCUGGUAGUCCACGCCGUAAACGAUGAGUGCUAAGUGUUAGAGGGUUUCCGCCCUUUA
This 802-nucleotide ribosomal RNA is filed under the name uncultured Bacillus sp. Its description in RNAcentral is "bacterial SSU rRNA". It matches the Rfam family "Bacterial small subunit ribosomal RNA", at positions 58 to 842 of the family's 1533-position model. The record is from RNAcentral. Lineage: Bacteria; Bacillati; Bacillota; Bacilli; Caryophanales; Bacillaceae.